RNAcentral lists this ribosomal RNA (459 nucleotides) under uncultured bacterium. RNAcentral's name for it is "partial 16S ribosomal RNA". It matches the Rfam family "Bacterial small subunit ribosomal RNA", at positions 338 to 795 of the family's 1533-position model. The record is from RNAcentral.
CCUACGGGUGGCUGCAGUGAGGAAUAUUGGUCAAUGGGCGUAAGCCUGAACCAGCCAAGUCGCGUGAGGGAUGAAGGUUCUAUGGAUCGUAAACCUCUUUUAUAAGGGAAUAAAGUGUGGGACGUGUCCUAUUUUGUAUGUACCUUAUGAAUAAGGAUCGGCUAACUCCGUGCCAGCAGCCGCGGUAAUACGGAGGAUGCGAGCGUUAUCCGGAUUUAUUGGGUUUAAAGGGUGCGUAGGCGGGCAUUUAAGCCGGCGGUCAAAUGUCGGGGCUCAACCCCGGCCUGCCGUCGGAACUGGGUGCCUUGAGUGGGCGAGAAGUAUGCGGAAUGCGUGGUGUAGCGGUGAAAUGCAUAGAUAUCACGCAGAACCCCGAUUGCGAAGGCAGCAUACCGGCGCCCGACUGACGCUGAUGCACGAAAGUGCGGGUAUCGAACAGGAUUAGAUACCCUAGUAGUC